UACGUAGGGUGCAAGCUUUAAUCGGAAUUACUGGGCGUAAAGCGUGCGCAGGCGGUUUUGCAAGACCGAUGUGAAAUCCCCGGGCUUAACCUGGGAAUGGCAUUGGUGACUGCACGGCUAGAGUGUGUCAGAGGGGGGUAGAAUUCCACGUGUAGCAGUGAAAUGCGUAGAGAUGUGGAGGAAUACCGAUGGCGAAGGCAGCCCCCUGGGAUAACACUGACGCUCAUGCACGAAAGCGUGGGGAGCAAACAGG
This 253-nucleotide ribosomal RNA is filed under the name uncultured bacterium. RNAcentral describes it as "partial 16S ribosomal RNA". It matches the Rfam family "Bacterial small subunit ribosomal RNA", at positions 524 to 776 of the family's 1533-position model. The record is from RNAcentral.